This 253-nucleotide ribosomal RNA is filed under the name uncultured prokaryote. Its description in RNAcentral is "partial 16S ribosomal RNA". It matches the Rfam family "Bacterial small subunit ribosomal RNA", at positions 524 to 776 of the family's 1533-position model. The record is from RNAcentral.
UACGUAGGCAGCGAGCGUUGUUCGGAAUUACUGGGCGUAAAGAGUGUGUAGGCGGUGAUCUAAGUUCGGUGUGAAAUCUCCCGGCUCAACUGGGAGGGUGCGCCGAAAACUGGAUUGCUGGAGCGUGGGAGAGGAAAGCGGAAUUCCUGGUGUAGCGGUGAAAUGCGUAGAGAUCAGGAGGAACACCUGUGGUGUAGACGGCUUUCUGGACCAUAGCUGACGCUGAGACACGAAAGCGUGGGUAGCAAACAGG